RNAcentral lists this non-coding RNA (78 nucleotides) under Heterosigma akashiwo. The record is from RNAcentral. Lineage: Eukaryota; Raphidophyceae; Chattonellales; Chattonellaceae.
CUCCUGUGAAUAUAUAUAUGCAUACACGAGUAUAGUGAAAAAAAAAAUAACGAGAAAAAAUGUAAUACAUGCAUAUAU